RNAcentral lists this long non-coding RNA (215 nucleotides) under Solanum tuberosum (potato). RNAcentral's name for it is "long non-coding RNA (STUB_LNC003945)". The record is from RNAcentral. Lineage: Eukaryota; Viridiplantae; Streptophyta; Magnoliopsida; Solanales; Solanaceae.
GGCCACUGCACCACAUCUUUGGUGCUAAUAUAGAAUAAGCUUAAUCAUUAGGCAUUGAAAUAUAUAUCUAUGGUUUUUUUCCGAAAUUAUAUCAAAGACCUUUGGCAAGUUUUUCUUUUUUUAAAAGAUUAUCUUUUUCAACAUACGUGGAAAAUAUUCCUUCCAUCAAUUUUUAUUCUUUUAACUUAUCCAUGCUGCAACUUGCAACAUUAUCA